GGGAGGGUGACAACCGCCAGCCGGCCCACCUCCUCAGUCCCCAUUGGCUACAAGGCGCCACUGCCGCGCUACGGCUGGGGCUUCCCAGCUAGAGCAGGAGAAUGACGGCCGCUCCCUCCCGCGCCGGAAAGGAGGCAGCACCCUGCACGUUCCCCACCUGAAUUCAGCCACCCUCACUACUGCCACCAGCCCAGGAUAAGGAUCAUAUUUCCAGUCUCCUCUGCAGCUACCCGGCCACUGGACCAAUCUCCAACCAGGCAGAUAAAGGGAUGGAAGUUAGAGGCUCGCCUGGUGACUUCCGGUAACAGCUUUGUACCACUUUCCCUAGAACGAUCCUCCUGCCUCCUUCCUGCCAGCUCCAUGGAUUGUAAAAUCACGUUGGGUGUGGCAGCCAGACAGAAUAAAGCACCAAAUUAAAACAGGUGCCAGUGUCCCCAUGUCAUGCAGAGCCAGCCCCAGCCUAUCUCCAGGUUUCCAAAAUAAAGAGAAAAAUG
This 494-nucleotide long non-coding RNA is filed under the name Mus caroli (Ryukyu mouse). RNAcentral's name for it is "lncRNA (MGP_CAROLIEiJ_G0002508.1)". Lineage: Eukaryota; Metazoa; Chordata; Mammalia; Rodentia; Muridae. The record is from RNAcentral.